GGAAAAACCACCAAGCUACAACUUCAAAGCUUACCUUAUUUAGAAAAGGAGAAAAGGCUUUUUUAUAGAUGUUGAGGUUGAGUAAGGGGGGCGGAGCUUGAAGAGCGAAGCGAGCCGCGUUAGCCUAGCAACAAUUUUUAGCAGCAAGCUAAGGUCUAACGACCCCCUAUCCUAGGUUGGGGCGAAAACUCCAAAAUCCAAAAUGUUGCUUAGGGUUCCAAACCUUUCUCUAGUAAUAAGGUAUGCUUUCAAGCCGCCGCCCUUUGAAGGAGCGGGCGUAGUGAACUAUAAUUGUGAAAAGAUUAGAAGAUCUAGCCAAAGAAGAUGAUAGCCCUGUAGAUACAUUCCCAUGGUUCAAUCCUUCCCGGUAAAACACAGCGUGUUCGAAUUCUGAUCGCUUUUAUGUGAGAAAGGUGGACCACCCUCUAAGCCUAAGUAUUCCUCAAUGACCGAUAGUGUACAAUUACAAUGAGGGAAAGGUGAAAAGAACCCUAUUUAGGGAGUGCAAUAGAUAACCUGAGAUCCGAUGCGAAUAAUCAGUCGAAGGAGCAAAGCUUAGAGCCUUUACUUUAUGUAAAGUACACUCACUCUAAUGGCGUACCUUUUGCAUGAUGGGUCAGCGAGGAAACUCCGAAUACAGGCCUAGAUCAUUUGUACAGACAGAAUUUUUGGGUGCUAAGAUCCAAAGUUAAGAGGGAAACAGCCCAGAUCGAAUGCUAAGGUCCCUAAGCAAUCACUUAGUGGAAAAGGAAGUGAUCGAGUGAUGACAACCACAGGUGGGCUUGGAAGCAACCAUCCUUUGAAGAAAGCGUAAUAGCUCACUGGUCUAGCUCUAUGUCUAGCUCACGGGAACCAUCUUAUUUCAGGGCUCAAGUGAUUCACCAAAGCAACGAGACCUUAAAAGCUACUUUUUCAAGUGUUAGUAGCGGAACGUUCUAUCAAUAGGGGAAGUUUUUGGUGACAAAACCUGGAGAUAUCAGAAGUGAGAAUGCUGACAUGAGUAACGAAAAAUCCUAUGAAAAACACGAUCGCCUGCCAGUGGAAGGUUUUCUGCAUUCAGUCAAUCUACGCAGAGUGAAUCGGUCCCUAAGAAACCCCCGAAAAGGCUGGCGUCUGAUGGGUACAUGAAAGUGAUGAAGUUGCUUUAACUACAGAACCAUGGCUGUCUAUUGGAGAGAAUUAGAUGAUCGAUCCGAGGGCUGCCCCAUCUUUCCCUUACUCUCCUUUCCCUAAUAUGAACCUUGAGUCAUCAAAGCCUUUCUGACUUGGCCUGGUUCGGUCGCCUUACGUGACUGGAGCUUCAAAAGGCGAAACUCUCGGUCGUAGUUUGGCGACCUAUCUUCAGUAGGGGCCUUUAGUCUUUUGAUUAGAGUAGGGGUCACGAGAGAGUAGAGUGUACCCCCCUGUCAUAGUCACGAGUCUGUUUAUAGUCACGACUAUUGUCAUAGUCAACAAGGUUGAAACUUCCAAGAAAAAACUUCGAAUUCGGAGGGCGAUCCUCCCGGUGAUUUAACUGUACCCCAAAAUGACACAGGUGAAAAAGUAGGUAUACUAGGGCGCUUGAGAGAACCAUGUCGAAGGAACUCAACAAAAUGACCCCGUAACUUUGGGAGAAAGGUGCUCUCUUAUGUUUUGAUUAGGAAAGCGGCACAUACUAGGGGGUAGUGAGUGUUUAUUAAAAACAAAGGACUCUGCUAAAUGGUAACACUAUGUAUAGAGUCUGACACCUUUCCGGUACUGGAAGGUCGGAAGGAGAAGUGUCAUAAGCUUUUAAUGGAAGCCCCGGUAAACGGCGGCAGUAACUCUAAUUGUCCUAAGGUAGCAAAAUUCCUUGUCGAAUAAGUAGCGACCUGCACGAAUGGUGUAACGACUGCCCCGCUGUCUCCAAAAUGGACCCGGUGAAAUUGAAUUCUCCGUGAAGAUGCAGAGUACGAAUAGCUAGACGGUAAGACCCCGCGCACCUUAACUAUAGCUUCACAGUGACAACCUUAAUCGAAUGUGUAGGAUAGGUGGGAGGUGGUAACAUACAACGACCAAUCCUGAAAGACCACUCUUUCAUCUAAGGAUGCCUAACCGAUGCACCGAUCAUUCGGGGGAGGCGGGACACUGCGAGGUGGGUAAUUUAUCUAGGGCCGAUGACUCUUAAAGAGUAACGAAGGUAUGCGAAGGUAGGCUCAAGCUAAGAUUCUGCUCGUGAGCAUAAUGGUAUUAGCCUGCCUGACUGUGAGACCGACUGGUAGAACAGAGACAAAAGUCAACCAUAGUGAUCCGGGAGUCCCGUGUGGAAGGGCUCUCGCUUAACGGAUCAAAGGUACGUCGGGGAUAACAGGCUGAUGACACCCAAGAGAUCUUAUCGACGGAGUCGUUUGGUACCUCGAUGUCGACUCAUCACAUCCUGGGGUUAAAGAAGGUCCCAAGGGUUCAAUUGUUCGCUGAUUCACGUGGUACGUGAGUUAGGUUUAGAAUGUCAUAAGAUAGUUCAGUUCCUAUCGACUAUUGGUGUUAAAAGGAGAACUGCGAAGAGCCAACCCUACCACGAGAGGACUGGGUUGGGCUAACCAAUGGUGUACCGGUUGUUAUGCCAGUAGCAGUGCCGGGUAGCUAAGUUGGUAUGGAAGAACUGAUGCGCCGCGGGAAAAUUUUCUCUAUAAAUGUUCUUGGAUGAGGUUUUUGAACAGAACUCUGAUAGGCGAGAGGUGUAAGCACCGCGAGGUGUGAAGCGAUCUCGUACUAAACGAAACAACUUUCACUU
RNAcentral lists this ribosomal RNA (2752 nucleotides) under Nicotiana tabacum (common tobacco). RNAcentral's name for it is "bacterial LSU rRNA". It matches the Rfam family "Bacterial large subunit ribosomal RNA". The record is from RNAcentral. Lineage: Eukaryota; Viridiplantae; Streptophyta; Magnoliopsida; Solanales; Solanaceae.